ACAAGCGGUGGAGCAUGUGGUUUAAUUCGAUGCAACGCGAAGAACCUUACCUGGACUUGACAUCCCAGGAAUUCCCCUGGGAAACAGGGGAAGUGCCCUUCGGGGAGCCUGGUGACAGGUGCUGCACGGCUGUCGUCAGCUCGUGUCGUGAGAUGUUGGGUUAAGUCCCGCAACGAGCGCAACCCCUGUCUUUAAUUGCCAUCAUUAAGUUGGGCACUUUAAAGAGACUGCCGGUGUUAAACCGGAGGAAGGUGGGGAUGACGUCAAGUCCUCAUGGCCUUUAUGUCCAGGGCUACACACGUGCUACAAUGGGUGGUACAAAGAGCAGCGACCUCGCGAGUGGAAGCAAAUCUCAAAAAGCCAUCCUAAGUUCGGAUUGAAGUCUGCAACUCGACUUCAUGAAGUUGGAAUCGCUAGUAAUCGCGGAUCAGCAUGCCCGCGGUCGAAUACGUUCCCGGGCCUU
This 463-nucleotide ribosomal RNA is filed under the name uncultured Syntrophaceae bacterium. RNAcentral's name for it is "bacterial SSU rRNA". It matches the Rfam family "Bacterial small subunit ribosomal RNA", at positions 925 to 1382 of the family's 1533-position model. Lineage: Bacteria; Pseudomonadati; Thermodesulfobacteriota; Syntrophia; Syntrophales; Syntrophaceae. The record is from RNAcentral.